This 119-nucleotide ribosomal RNA is filed under the name Pteropus alecto (black flying fox). The record is from RNAcentral. Lineage: Eukaryota; Metazoa; Chordata; Mammalia; Chiroptera; Pteropodidae.
GUCUAUGGCCAUGCCACCCUGAACAAGCCCAAUCCCGUCUGAUCUCGGAAGCUAAGCAGGGUCAGGCCUGCUUAGUACUUGGAUAGGAGACCACCUAGGAAGACCAGGUGCUGUAGGUG